This 177-nucleotide ribosomal RNA is filed under the name Lactobacillus delbrueckii subsp. bulgaricus. RNAcentral describes it as "partial 16S ribosomal RNA". It matches the Rfam family "Bacterial small subunit ribosomal RNA", at positions 1365 to 1533 of the family's 1533-position model. Lineage: Bacteria; Bacillati; Bacillota; Bacilli; Lactobacillales; Lactobacillaceae. The record is from RNAcentral.
AAUACGUUCCCGGGCCUUGUACACACCGCCCGUCACACCACGAGAGUUUGUAACACCCGAAGUCGGUGAGGUAACCUUUUGGAGCCAGCCGCCUAAGGUGGGACAGAUGAUUGGGGUGAAGUCGUAACAAGGUAGCCGUAUCGGAAGGUGCGGCUGGAUCACCUCCUUUCUAAGGAA